This 905-nucleotide ribosomal RNA is filed under the name Murispora medicaginicola. Its description in RNAcentral is "eukaryotic LSU rRNA". It matches the Rfam family "Eukaryotic large subunit ribosomal RNA", at positions 38 to 961 of the family's 3401-position model. The record is from RNAcentral. Lineage: Eukaryota; Fungi; Ascomycota; Dothideomycetes; Pleosporales; Amniculicolaceae.
GCAUAUCAAUAAGCGGAGGAAAAGAAACCAACAGGGAUUGCCCUAGUAACGGCGAGUGAAGCGGCAACAGCUCAAAUUUGAAAUCUGGCUCCCUUGGGGGUCCGAGUUGUAAUUUGUAGAGGGUGCUUUGUGUUAGCUGUGGUCUAAGUCCCUUGGAACAGGGCGUCACAGAGGGUGAGAAUCCCGUAUGUGGCCAGCAGCUUUCGCCUUGUAAAGCCCCUUCGACGAGUCGAGUUGUUUGGGAAUGCAGCUCUAAAUGGGAGGUAAAUUUCUUCUAAAGCUAAAUAUUGGCCAGAGACCGAUAGCGCACAAGUAGAGUGAUCGAAAGAUGAAAAGCACUUUGGAAAGAGAGUCAAAAAGCACGUGAAAUUGUUGAAAGGGAAGCGCUUGCAGCCAGACUUGCCCGUAGUUGCUCAUCCAGGCCUCGUGUCUGGUGCACUCUUCUGCGGGCAGGCCAGCAUCAGUUCAGGCGGUCGGAUAAAGGCUCUGGGAAUGUGGCUCCUCUCGGGGAGUGUUAUAGCCCAGUGUGCAAUGCGGCCAGCUUGGACUGAGGUCCGCGCUUCUGCUAGGAUGCUGGCGUAAUGGCUGUAAGCGGCCCGUCUUGAAACACGGACCAAGGAGUCUAACAUCUAUGCGAGUGUUUGGGUGUCAAGCCCGAGCGCGCAAUGAAAGUGAACGGAGGUGGGAACCCCUCGGGGUGCACCAUCGACCGAUCCUGAUGUCUUCGGAUGGAUUUGAGUAAGAGCAUAGCUGUUGGGACCCGAAAGAUGGUGAACUAUGCCUGAAUAGGGUGAAGCCAGAGGAAACUCUGGUGGAGGCUCGCAGCGGUUCUGACGUGCAAAUCGAUCGUCAAAUUUGGGCAUAGGGGCGAAAGACUAAUCGAACAUCUAGUAGCUGGUUCCUGC